GAAGUUAGCCGGGGCUUCUUAUSCAGGUACSGKSAUUAUCGUCCCUGGCGAAARAGCUUUACAACCCUAGGGCCUUCAUCACUCACGCGGSAUGGCUGGAUCAGGCUUGCGCCCAUUGUCCAAUAUUCCCCACUGCUGCCUCCCGUAGGARUCUGGGCCGUGUCUCARUCCCAGUGUGGCUGAUCAUCCUCUCAGACCARCUACCGAUCGUCGCCUUGGUGARCCAUUACCUCACCAACUAGCUAAUCGGACGCGGGCCAAUCCUUCGGCAAUAAUCUUUCCCCCUAAGGGCGUA
RNAcentral lists this ribosomal RNA (295 nucleotides) under uncultured alpha proteobacterium GE19. RNAcentral describes it as "partial 16S ribosomal RNA". Lineage: Bacteria; Pseudomonadati; Pseudomonadota; Alphaproteobacteria. The record is from RNAcentral.